AACCAUAGAAACCUGCGGAGUACCUGCGGAAGGAUCAUUAUCGAGUUGCAAAACUCCAACCCUUUGUGAACAUACCUCAGUCGUUGCUUCGGCGGUGGACGGCCUUUUUUCGAAAAGGCCCGAAGCCGCCGGAGGUUCCAAACUCGUGUUUUGUUUAGUGUAUCUCUGAGCCUGAAAACAAAUAAUCAAAACUUUUAACAACGGAUCU
RNAcentral lists this unclassified non-coding RNA (208 nucleotides) under soil metagenome. Its description in RNAcentral is "partial contains 5.8S ribosomal RNA, internal transcribed spacer 2, and large subunit ribosomal RNA". The record is from RNAcentral.